CCACCGACUUAUGGGUAUGUGG
RNAcentral lists this non-coding RNA (22 nucleotides) under Arabidopsis thaliana (thale cress). Lineage: Eukaryota; Viridiplantae; Streptophyta; Magnoliopsida; Brassicales; Brassicaceae. The record is from RNAcentral.